RNAcentral lists this ribosomal RNA (440 nucleotides) under uncultured bacterium. RNAcentral's name for it is "partial 16S ribosomal RNA". It matches the Rfam family "Bacterial small subunit ribosomal RNA", at positions 338 to 795 of the family's 1533-position model. The record is from RNAcentral.
CCUACGGGUGGCAGCAGUGGGGGAUAUUGCACAAUGGGGGAAACCCUGAUGCAGCGACGCCGCGUGUGGGAAGACGGUCCUCUGGAUUGUAAACCACUGUCCCCAGGGACGAAGAUGACGGUACCUGGGGAGGAAGCUCCGGCUAACUACGUGCCAGCAGCCGCGGUAAUACGUAGGGAGCGAGCGUUGUCCGGAAUUACUGGGUGUAAAGGGAGCGGAGGCGGGGAUGCAAGUUGGGUGUAAAAACUACCGGCUCAACUGGUAGUCGCACUCAACACUGCAGCUCUUGAGUGAAGUAGAGGCAGGCGGAAUUCCGAGUGGAGCGGUGAAAUACGUAGAUAUUAGGAGGAACACGAGUGGCGAAGGCGACCUGCUGGGCUUUUACUGACGCUGAGGCUCGAAAGUGUGGGGAGCAAACAGGAUUAGAUACCCCUGUAGUC